RNAcentral lists this unclassified non-coding RNA (343 nucleotides) under soil metagenome. RNAcentral describes it as "partial contains 5.8S ribosomal RNA, internal transcribed spacer 2, and large subunit ribosomal RNA". The stretch from base 1 to 120 matches the Rfam family "5.8S ribosomal RNA", at positions 35 to 154 of the family's 154-position model. The record is from RNAcentral.
GAUGAAGAACGUAGCGAAACGCGAUAAGUAAUGUGAAUUGCAGAAUUUAGUGAAUCAUCGAACUUUUGAACGCACAUUGCGCCCGCUAGUAUUCUGGCGGGCAUGCCUGUCCGAGCGUCAUUUCAACCCUCAAGCCCCCGGGCUUGGUGUUGGGGAUCGGCGAGCCUCCGCGCCCGCCGUCCCCUAAAUCUAGUGGCGGUCUCGCUGUAGCUUCCUCUGCGUAGUAGCACACCUCGCACUGGGAAACAGCGCGGCCACGCCGUUAAACCCCCAACUUCUGAACGUUUGACCUCGGAUCAGGUAGGAAUACCCGCUGAACUUAAGCAUAUCAAUAAGCGGAGGA